AUUGAACGCUGGCGGCAUGCUUUACACAUGCAAGUCGAACGGUAACAGGCCGCAAGGUGCUGACGAGUGGCGAACGGGUGAGUAAUGCAUCGGAACGUGCCCAGUCGUGGGGGAUAACUACUCGAAAGAGUAGCUAAUACCGCAUACGAUCUAUGGAUGAAAGCGGGGGACCGUAAGGCCUCGCGCGAUAGGAGCGGCCGAUGUCAGAUUAGGUAGUUGGUGGGGUAAAGGCUCACCAAGCCAACGAUCUGUAGCUGGUCUGAGAGGACAACCAGCCACACUGGGACUGAGACACGGCCCAGACUCCUACGGGAGGCAGCAGUGGGGAAUUUUGGACAAUGGGCGCAAGCCUGACCCAGCAAUGCCGCGUGCAGGAAGAAGGCCUUCGGGUUGUAAACUGCUUUUGUACGGAACGAAACGGCUCUGGUUAAUACCCGGGGCUAAUGACGGUACCGUAAGAAUAAGCACCGGCUAACUACGUG
This 482-nucleotide ribosomal RNA is filed under the name uncultured bacterium. RNAcentral's name for it is "partial 16S ribosomal RNA". It matches the Rfam family "Bacterial small subunit ribosomal RNA", at positions 30 to 507 of the family's 1533-position model. The record is from RNAcentral.